This 428-nucleotide ribosomal RNA is filed under the name uncultured bacterium. Its description in RNAcentral is "bacterial SSU rRNA". It matches the Rfam family "Bacterial small subunit ribosomal RNA", at positions 340 to 786 of the family's 1533-position model. The record is from RNAcentral.
UACGGAAGGCAGCAGUGGGGAAUAUUGGACAAUGGGCGAAAGCCUGAUCCAGCCAUGCCGCAUGAGUGAAGAAGGCCUUCGGGUUGUAAAGCUCUUUUAGUGAGAAAGAUAAUGACGGUACUCACAGAAGAAGUCCUGGCUAACUCCGUGCCAGCAGCCGCGGUAAUACGGAGGGUGCGAGCGUUAAUCGGAAUUACUGGGCGUAAAGGGCACGCAGGCGGUUAAUUAAGUUGGAUGUGAAAUCCCCGGGCUUAACCUGGGAAUGGCAUUCAAGACUGGUUAGCUAGAGUCUUGUAGAGGGGGUGAAUUCCAUGUGUAGCGGUGAAAUGCGUAGAGAUGUGGAGGAAUACCGGUGGCGAAGGCGGCCCCUGGACAAAGACUGACGCUCAUGUGCGAAAGGCUGGGGAGCGAAACAGGGAUUAGAUACC